This 700-nucleotide ribosomal RNA is filed under the name uncultured organism. RNAcentral describes it as "bacterial SSU rRNA". It matches the Rfam family "Bacterial small subunit ribosomal RNA", at positions 81 to 792 of the family's 1533-position model. The record is from RNAcentral.
GUAUUGGGUGGAAAGUGGCGAACGGGUGAGUAACACGUUGGUGACCUGCCCUGAGGAGGGGAAUAACCGUGGGAAACCACGGCUAAUACCCCGGAUGUCUAAGCUGUUAGAGGGCUUAGACUAAAGCCCCUGCAAGGGGUGCGCCUCGGGAGGGGCCUGCGGGCUAUCAGCUUGUUGGUGGGGUAAUGGCUUACCAAGGCGAAGACGGCUAGGGGGCGUGAGAGCGCGACCCCCCACAAUGGAACUGAGACACGGUCCAUACUCCUACGGGAGGCAGCAGUGAGGAAUAUUGCGCAAUGGGGGCAACCCUGACGCAGCAACGCCGCGUGGACGAUGAAGGCCUUCGGGUUGUAAAGUCCUUUUCUGAAGGAAGAUAGUGACGGUACUUCAGGAAUAAGUCCCGGCUAACUACGUGCCAGCAGCCGCGGUAAAACGUAGGGGGCGAGCGUUAUCCGGAUUUACUGGGCGUAAAGCGCACGUAGGCGGCAUCGUAAGUUGGACGUGAAAGCUCCCGGCUCAACUGGGAGAGGUCGUUCAAAACUGUGGUGCUUGAGGUUGAUAGAGGAGAGUGGAAUUCCCGGUGUAAUGGUGGAAUGCGUAGAUAUCGGGAGGAACACCAGUGGCGAAGGCGGCUCUCUAGGUCACACCUGACGCUGAGGUGCGAAAGCGUGGGGAGCGAACGGGAUUAGAUACCCCGGUA